GAAUAGAAAGCGCUGGGGACAGAGCCUGGCCUGCAGAAAGUGCUCAGGAAACGCAGGCUCCCGCUGUGGCUGUGACUGGCUUCCCGCCCCUCCCGGUCUGUCCCCCGGGCUGCCCGCCCCGCCUUACUUGUUGAAAUUUCGGUAGUCGUUGGGGCUGGGGGUGUGACUUCGGCCAUCGCUCUGGUAGUCCCGGUAGCUGACGAACUCCUGCCAAGGGCAGCGGUAGCCCUUGGAGAUGGCGGUGUGGUUGAACUUCUCUGGCGGGACGCCCUUCAGCGGCUCCGCAUAGCCUAGGGGCGCGGGGGGAAGGGAGCGCCUCCGUUCUUCCACCCUCAGCCCCCAACCCCACCUCGCCCCACCCCCAUUCCGCGGACGCGGUUGGAGGAGGGAAGAUCGGAGUUAGGGGAGAGGACGGCGGGAAUGGGAAGCCACAGUUGCUCCAGCACAGGAGACCCCUCCCCAUCCCAGGAAACACGGAGGACUGCAGUGAGGAAGCCACGAGUUCGCAGCGCGGGUUGGUCUUGGCCUUGGCUGACUCGCUGUGUGACCUGGGGCGCGGCGCCCCUCCGGCUCGUGGUCUGGCGAGGGGAGUGCGCGCGUGCGCGUGUGUGUUGGGGAAGGGGGCGGACUAGCCUUCUGGGUGCUCUUCCUGCCCCAUGGGGAGCACACCCAUGCUUCAGGCCCCCCAGCCCUGGUCCCGGGACCCGAGGAGGCCACUCACCUGGCGCCAGGGCGCUGGGGCUGGGGACGCACCCAGCAGGGGCGGCUGCAGGGUGGGCGCCCUCGGGACCCCCGAGUGAGGCCCCGGGUGAGGCCGGGAAGAUGUGGAGCUCCGAGCGGUAGUUCGGCCCCUCAGGGCCAUUGGCAUUGGCAACCUGGGCACAGGGGCGGGUUCUCAGAGGCCACCGACGACCUCCCGCCCCCAGCCGCGCUCCCCUUCCCCCAGCUUCCCUUCCAGGGAGCUCCCCUCCACGCUCACCGUCCCCGACUCCGCUGUUCCAGUCACCUUCCUCCUGGCGCUUCCGGCCAGCAUCUGGGAACGAGGGGGUAGAAUAAACCGCAGAGAAGCUCAGCGGGGCAGGGGACCAGGGUUCUCCCUCCACCAAAAAAAAAGGUCGGGGGGAGGCAAGAAUCCUAACGCCCAUCAUCGGGGAACAAGGAUGAGUUACUAGUUUACAACGCUAAACCCAGUGCCUGGGACCGAGAAAUACUCGAUAUAUGUUAAUUGCUAUUGUAAUGCCGAGUCCGGGCAAGAUACUUAAUUUCCCUGAGCCUCAAUGUCCUUCUCGAUAGAAUGAGGAUGAUGGUGAUGAAGAUCUCUUCCUCAGAGGGGUCUAUGAGCAUUAAAUGAGAUACCUGCAAAGUGCUUAGCUAGCAUUGUCUUAGGCACAUAGCAAAGGCGGGUGUUUUGCCAUCUUUAUUUUUCUGCCACAUCACUCCCUCUCAGUUGCCUCCUGUCUAGCCCAGAAAUUAAGUGGAGGGUGGAUGGAAUAGCCCUGGCUUCCUUAGAAGUAUCUGGAACUGCCUGCUGCCUUUCUGAAGCCAAGGGAAAAACCCUUCUUGCCUUUCUUCUCCACCAGCAGAUUAUUCCAUGGCCUUUCCUUUCUCCGGUGGGAAGAAGAAAAAAGGGCAUUCUACAUUUUCCAUCUUAGAUCAGGCCCAAGUCUAAACUAGAUCCAGCCUGCUGCAAAUUUAGCCUAGAGUGCAUGCCUGUCUUAGCUUUUUUUUUUUUUUUUUUUUUUUGGUAGGAGCCAGAGUCCCUUCACUCCACGGCUUAUCCUCAACCCCCUAAUCCACUUUGUUUACUUUGUUCUGUAUCCAGGGAGAGAUGCCUAAAAAGAUAACACUUUUCAAGGAUCACACUGAAAGGCAGGAGCCUAAUCUGAUGGGAACAUCACAGUCCUCAGCCUGGCUUACCGUUUGACUUUAGGCUAACCAGUGGCUCUCUGUGGUCCUCAUUUUCCCCAUGAGCACAAUGGUGGCUUACUCACCGCCCGCUGGCUGGCUGCUAACUCGAAAGUGAACUUCUGCACACGGCGCUGCCUCUUCUGGAAGAGGAGGGACCCUCUGUUGUUGCGUAGUGACAGCUCCUCCAUCAUCAGGUCCUGGGGCACGCUCAGCUUCUUGCCCAGGUCCAGCGUAGGGACUGCCAGGAAAGGCCAGAGCGGGCUCUCACCACCCCAUCCCCCAUACACUCCAGGCCCCACCUCUCGAAGCAUGGCAUGCUGUGUGUAAGAAUGCCUGUUUCUCACCAAGCUUGCCGACACCGGGUGUCAUGAUUGUUUGAAAUCUUUGCCCACCUGAUGGGCAAAAAUGACACCUCAGAGUUUAAUUUGCAUGUGUUUGUUGCUCAGUGAAGUUUAGCACUGUUUCCGAAGUUCUUUGGCCAUUUGUGUUUAUUGCAUGAAUUCCCCAUGCAGGUCUUUGCCCAUAAUGGUGGAGGUAGUGAGAAAUGGUCAGAUUCUCGAUAUUUUUUAAAGGUAAGCCAUGGGUAUGGGCAAUGAGUGAGAGAGGAUGACUGCAAGGUUUCUGGCCUUAGCCACUGGAAGGAUAGAGCAGCCAUUCACGGAGAUGGGGAAGGCAAAGGGAGGAGAAGGUUCUGGGAAAGAUCAGGAGUUCAGUUUUAGACCUGUGUUCUUUUAACUUUAAAAUAGCCUUUUAUUAUUAUAAAAAAGCAUAUAUGGGCCAGGCGCGGUGGCUCACGCCUGUAAUCCCAGCACUUUGGGAAGCCAAAGCAGGCGCAUCACCUGAGGUCAAGGGUUCGAGACCAGCCUGACCAACAUGGCAAAAACCCAUCUCUACUAAAAGUAGAAAAAUUAGCUGGGCGUAGGUGGCGCAUGCCUGUAAUCCCAGCCACUCUGGAGGCUGAGGCAGGAGAAUCACUUGAACCCAGGAGGUGGAGGUUGCAGUAAGCCGAGAUUGCAUUGCUGCACUCCAGCCUGGGUGACAGAGUGAUUUUCCAUCAAAAAAAAAAAAAAAAAAAAAAAAAAAAAAAAGCAUAUAUGGGCCCUGAGGAAAGUUGGACAAUACAGAUAUCAGACAAAAAAGAGAAAAAUACCAUUAUCUAUCACCCAGAGACUGCCACUAUUAACACCUUAGUGUAUGUCCUUUCAUAUCUUUUUCAAUGACUAUAUUCCUAUGAGGUUUUAACCAAAAUAAAAUUAUAGCAUACAUGUUUUGUAAUUUUUUUUUUUUUGAGAUGUCACCCAGGCUGGAGUGCAAUGGCACAAUCUCGGCUCGCUGCAACCUCCGCCUCCCGGGUUCAAGCAAUUCUCCUGCCUUAGGCUCGUGAGUAGCUGGAUUACAGGUGCGCACCACCACGCCCAGCUAAUUUUUGUAUUUUUAGUAGAGAUGGGGUUUCAACAUGUUGGCCAGGCUGGUCUCAAACUCCUGACCUUGUGAUCCGCCCCCCACCCCCCCUCGGGCUCCCAGAGUGCUGGGAUUACAGGCGUGAGCCACCGCUCCCGGCCUGUAACUUGUUUUAUCAAGAUCUUUACAAGUUAAAGAUCUCCACAUUUCCAAGUGAACAAAUUUUUGUUUUACCUAAUAUCUAGUCCAUAUCCAAACUCUGCUAAUUGUCUCCAAAACUGGGCACACUAAGUUUGAGGAGACUUGUAGGCAUCUAAGUAGUGGUGCUGAGGAGGGAGAUAGAUGUGUGAAUCUGGAGAAAACUGACCUGGAGGUGAAAUGUUGGGCAUCAUGAGCUUUUACUGGUAUUUACUGGUAUUUGUUGUUGUUUUUCAAUGAAGAACGUUACAUUUAUUUCUUUUCUCAUAGUUGGAACUAGUCUUUACAGCUAUUUAGAGGAUUUUCAGGGUGAUGGCUGUUCUUAGUAGUUUGAGACCCAUCCCUAUCCUUUGUGCGUUUCCUACCAGCCAAAUUCAAACUUUCACGUUUGGCCAACAAAGGAAGCCUUUUGCAGGACAGAGGGGACAGAAUGGUGAGGACCUUGGCAGGUGAGAGCCCUGUGUGGGCAGCACGGCCUGCCUAGUCCAUCUCUAAAAUCAGAUACACAUACGUUCAUAUUCCAGCUCCAUAAAUGGUAUUUUAAGCUGGGAGGCUGGAUGAGAUCAUAAAGAAAUGAGAAUAGGUAAAGAGGAUCAGAGACGGAGCCUGGGGCCUCCAACAUUUACAGUGAGGCGGUGAGGAGGAACCAAGCCAGGAGCCUGGGCAGGAGCAGCCCACAACAUAGGAAGAAACUAAAGAGGAUGGCAUCCUGGAAAUAAAUGAUGAAAGCAUUUCAGGUAUGAUAGAGAGACUAACAGAGCCAAGUGCUGCUGAUGUGUCAAGGAAGAUGAGGGCUGAAAAUCCACUAUUAUAUUUAGCAAUACAAGGUCAUUGGUAAUUUUCACUAAAGCAGUUUCUAUGGAGUGUUUGGGUGUGAAAGCCUAACUGGAGAGGGUUCAAGAGAAAAUGGACAGAAGAACAAGUUUAACCACACCAUGAGGAAGCGAUAAGCCAAAUCCAGGACGCAGGACAUUCUACAGGACAACUGGCCUGGUUUUUCAAACAAACGAGUUUCACUCUUGUUGCCCAGGCUGGAGUGCAAUGGCAUGAUCUCGGCUCACUGCAACCUCUGCCUCCCGGGUUCAAGCGAUUCUCCUGCCUCAGCCUCCCGAGUAGCUGGAAUUGCAGGCAUGCACCAUCACGCCUGGCUAAUUUUGUAUUUAUAGUAGAGAUGGGGUUUCUCCAUGUUGGUCAGGCUGGUCUCGAGCUCCCAACCUCAGGUCAUCCGCUUGCCUCAGUCUCCCAAAGUGCUGGGAUUACAGGCGUGAGCCACCUCCCCCAGCUGAGCUCAAUAUUUAAAAAAAAAAAAUGGCAGGCACAGUGGCUCACAACUAUAAUCCCAGCACUUGCAGAGGGCAAAGUGGGUGGAUUGCUUGGGCCCAGGAGUUCAAGACCAGCCUGGGCAAUAUAGCAAGACCCUGUCUCUAUUAAAAAAUAAAAAAAGAUAAAAUCUAUUUGACUGAGUAUUUCUAUUUCUAGGAAUUUAUUCUCGGGGAAAAAGUUGAAUAAAUAUGUCCAAAGAUACAUGUAUAAGAAUGUUUAUUGCAGUGGGGUUUAAAAUUGUGAAAACUGGGACUCAGUCUCGUGGUGGAUGCUGCCAGAUGCCCCUUAUUAGUGGCUAAGAGUUCACACCACCACCUUCUACAGAGAACUGCCAGUGGAAUGGAUGCUCCACAGCGCCCUUGCCUCAGGUGGGAUGAAUUCUGUGGAGCAAUUCAUGCUCGAGAGCUCCCCGCGGGGUCACACUGAACUGGACAGCCGCUGAGCCCACAUCCUCGCUCAGCAGUACCCCACCCUAGGCUGCAUUCCUCCUUCCCUUCCGAGAGCACGUUCUCAAUAAGUCACUUGCACAAGGCUCCUCUGUUCUGCCCCGAAGGAUCUCACCCCAGACAACCCUCAUCAGGGGAUGGUUAAACACACAUGACGUGUCCAAACAGCAGAAAGCUGGUAAGCACGGGGAAGGAAGGCGUGAGAUAAAUCAUACUAGGAUGGAAUGCUGCUAAAUGAAAAAAAAAAAAAGCCAAAGAACAUAGCAUAUAGUAUUUAGCCCAUGUGUAUGUAUGUUUAUAUAAAGACAUUCAUAUAUGAACAGAACAAGAAUUUACAUAAAUAUGUUAACAGUGGUUAUCUCCAGAUGGUUCCAUUAUGAUGAACUUUCAAAGCCGUUCAUGUCUGUUUUGUCUGAAUUAAACAAAUUUUUUUAAUGUAUGCCAAGUCAAUGGCAAGUGAAUUUUUUUUUUAAAAAGUGAUGUAUUAUCAUUGUAACCAUGUAAUAAAGAAACAGCUCUGAAGACAAAG
RNAcentral lists this long non-coding RNA (5805 nucleotides) under Homo sapiens (human). Its description in RNAcentral is "HSALNT0330242". The record is from RNAcentral. Lineage: Eukaryota; Metazoa; Chordata; Mammalia; Primates; Hominidae.